Molecule: long non-coding RNA, 1770 nt
Organism: Struthio camelus australis
Lineage: Eukaryota; Metazoa; Chordata; Aves; Struthioniformes; Struthionidae
Source: Ensembl
GUAAUUUUGGUUUUUGUUUAAAGGUUUGCUGUUGCCUCCCUAAGCCUUACUUGCAAAAUUAAUUCAAAUUGGCUUGGAUAAGAACACUGUCAUGAAGAUUAAAAACUGGCUGAAAGACUACAAACAAAGGGUGUCUUGAGGGUACCACAGGGAUCACUGCUAGAACUAGUCAUUUUUAACAUCCUUAUUAAUGAUCUGGGAGAGUGUCGACACAUGCUAAUAAAAUUAACUUGUGAUACAAAAUUGCAUGGGGAUAGAGAAGGUUAAGGGAAUGAUACAAGGGCUGUAGAGAGAUUAGAAACACUGCCAGAAGUACCGUGCCAGAAGUACCGUAAUAAGAUUCAAAUUCAAGAAAAUGCAGCCCAGUUAGAUCUCAUAAUGAGAAUCAGAAAAGAAAUAAUAUAGUUGAAGGGAGAAAGCUGAAAGCAACUAUGCAGAAAAACACUUACGGUAGGAGUAAUAGUCAACAACAAAUUGAACCUGUGUCAGCCAUGCAAGAGGGCAGCAAAUGAGGACAAAGAAAAUCAGUGCCGGCUAUAGUCUGAUCAUAGGUGCGGGGAGUGAUGAGCUGUAAGACUGUGGACUCAACUCUCAGCAGUUUAUGCAGCAAUAUUGUUAGAUGUGAAACGCUGCCUGAAAGAAAGUGUGUCCCAGUGUGGCUCCACUGCUUAAAUGAGAAAGUGCUGAAAAUCUGUCCUUCACUCCAAUGGGAUCUAUACAAGUAGUAUUCGUCAUCCACAGUGAUGUUUUUGGAGCGGGAAGAUGUAAUGUAAUGCUGAUGAUGCAACCCCAGACAGUCAUUUCUGUGUAAUAGCUUCAGGCUCAGAAAGCCUGAUCUGCCUCCUGAACAACCGUCACAGGCUUCGCCCCCACGUCUGCGUGGAUGAGGGGACCCAGGAACCAGUUGGAGAAUCAGGAGUUUGCUUAAACUUUAGCGAUAUCUUUCACCUUGAAAUAUUGAUCCCCUAGCUAUAUGCUGCGAUAAAGUUUGCAUUAGAAAUACUGGUACUUUCAGCAUCUCUUGGCUCAGUCUGCAUGUUACUGGCUACUACAGUUUUGUUUUAUCCUUCACUUUGUUAUAGGAUAUCUGCAUCACAUACAGAGUAUAAAAAGGAAUGGAGCGAAUGAGUAAUGCAGCCCUAGUGGGAUUAAAGGCAGAAUUAGGAGACUUUUCUGCUUGAAACAGGUUUAUUUGAUUCAUUUUUAGUGCUUGCUGUUAUAAAGGACAGAGAUCAACAACAACAUAAGACAAGAAUCAGAUUAUUCCUUUGUUAUCCUGCUGUACACAAAGCUGUAACAACAUUUACAAAAUAGUAAUGAAUGACAUUGUUUUCUAGAUGAGACUGUGUGGACUUAUGACAGCUUUCUGCUUCAUUUUUUGUGUUCUAAGCACAAGCAAAGAUGACUAUCUGCAAAAAUAUUAAAUAUAUGACUUCUGAAGAAUCUCAGAAAGGUUAAGAAUUACAGUAUUAACCAUUCCAUCUUCGUUCCACUGAGAAUUUCCAUGAUAAGUUUGCACAGAAAAUUUGAUUUUCUGUGUAUAGAUGCAAGAGAUUUUACCACUUUUCCGUAAAACCUCUUUAAUGGUCUAAGCUAACAUGGUAAAUGUUAAGUAUCUUUGGAAAAGUUUUGAAAAACUACUGCCACAAAAUUAAUCUGAGGCUGAACAAUUUGAAUUUUUUGUCCUUAUAAUCAAAAGCUAAGAGGAAAAAUUCGGAAAAAAAAAAAACUUGCUUUGUUGUUGGAAGCUGGAAAAUUGUUUGACCUGUG